GAAUAUUGCGCAAUGGGGGAAACCCUGACGCAGCGACGCCGCGUGAGCGAAGAAGGCCUUAGGGUCGUAAAGCUCUGUUGUAAGGGACGAAUGUUCACUUUGCGAAUAGUUAAGUGAAAUGACGGUACCUUACCAGCAAGCCCCGGCUAACUACGUUCCAGCAUCCGCGGUAAGACGUAGGGGGCGAGCGUUGUCCGGAAUUACUGGGCGUAAAGAGAACGUAGGCGGAUAAUUAAGUCAGAUGUGGAAGACCGCGGCCCAACCGAGGGGUUGCAUCUGAAACUGGAUAUCUUGAGGGCAGGAGAGGGCAGUGGAAUUCCUGGUGUAGCGGUGAAAUGCGUAGAAAUCAGGAGGAACACCAGUGGCGAAGGCGGCUGCCUGGACUGACCCUGACGCUGAGGUGCGAAAG
Molecule: ribosomal RNA, 409 nt
Filed under: uncultured Syntrophomonadaceae bacterium
Lineage: Bacteria; Bacillati; Bacillota; Clostridia; Eubacteriales; Syntrophomonadaceae
Description: bacterial SSU rRNA
Rfam family: Bacterial small subunit ribosomal RNA
Source: RNAcentral